RNAcentral lists this unclassified non-coding RNA (309 nucleotides) under Hevea brasiliensis (rubber tree). Lineage: Eukaryota; Viridiplantae; Streptophyta; Magnoliopsida; Malpighiales; Euphorbiaceae. The record is from RNAcentral.
GGCAAUUUCGGGUUCAUAAUCCUUUUGGUUCAAAUUCAACUUUCAUUAUACUCAUAAUUGAUGCACUAUAAGUCCAUGAUGUUACUUUGUCAAGUUGCGCAAAAUAGUGUCAGUUCGCAUGAUAAACUGGCAUGUUUUAGAUUUUUCAUUAUAAAUUCUAAUAUCUGCUCAAACUAGUAAAAUUCAUCACUUUUAAAUUGUAUCUCCCAGUGCUGAAUACCUUAGGCCCUUGUGGUAGCUAACAGGUUUGAAUUCACAUGAGCACAAGUUGGUUGAUUUCUAUGUUGGCUGGUAGGUCAUCUCUACAAG